CCCACAAUGCUUUGCUUGAUAUUUUCCAUUACAAAACCAAGAUUCAAGCAGAAGCUUAAAACCAUGAGAUCCAACACAAUUGUCAUUUGAGGUCCAACGCACAAGAGAUACUUCAGCCUUAAUUCAAAUAACAGUCAGGAGGGGACACUUUUGAGGUCAAGCUUGUUUGAAUUGAGUGUGCAUUUGGAAAACUGCUUAAUUAAAUAUUUAUCCGAUAAUAACUUAUCAAGUCAAGUGUGCAUAAGAGUUUACAUCCAUAAGAAUUCCCACAUAAGCUGUUUUUCAUAAUUUUAUCAUAUAAGCUUAUACAAAUAAGGUCAGAAGACGUUAUAGGUAGGUUGUAAGCUACUUCAUAAACUCAAUCAAAUUGUGAUCAUGAAGAAUAUGCAAAUCAAAAGUCUGUCAGCGUACAUACAAAGUGGAUGAGUCACUCAUUUUGAUUUUGAGGAUUGUUAUGAAGAUUAUGAUAGAAACAAAGAGGUGGAAGUUCUUUCAUUGUGUACAGUUUAGGCAAGCAUUUAUUGUAUUUGACACUAGCUCAGAUCACAUCUAUUCAGAUACCAAUUACUUUUAUUUCACGUCUUCUUUUGGAAGUUGCUCAAAAAGAGUUUACGUUUUCUAUUUAUGAUAAGCACAUACACCUGGUCACCAGAUAGCCCCACUACUUUAAAUGCAUAUAAUCUUAUAUCCUCUACCCAGCUGUGAUAUCUGUCUUUUCUCACUAAUAUAAUAUUUUCCCAUUGAAGAAUUAGAAGGCCAAAAUAUAUUUUUGGUCCCACAAAUAUUCUUUUUUUUCUUUCUUGUGUUAAUCUUUUUCAUCAAUCUUCAUUUAUUUGAAGUUGUUGGGGAGUUUGGACGAAUACCGGGAGCAACAUCGAGCUGAUGAUCUAGGAUUACUAAGAGAUAAGGGCAUCGUAUUGUUGAUGUGUCAAGUCCAGUAGGAGGCAACAGUUGAGCUAAAGUUUUUAAUGAACCUCCUCUAAAAGAAAGCUCGGAUACCAAAUCUAAUUCAGGGACAGGAGGAAUGGUAAAUGUUAAGAGUGUCACAUCAGACAAUAUAUAAAUAAAACAUGUGCAAUCCUCACUUUACAACCCGGUUUUGUAGGGUUGAGUUAGACCCAACCACAUUUCUUGUGAACCAUCUAUCAGGUUUCCACUAUCGGAUUACCCACAAUUUAAUAUUGUCAUAGCUAUUAUAAUGUAUGAGCUAGAAAUCAAACUUAUAACCACAUGCUUAAGAGACUCACGCAGCUCAAUCCCUUUAAAACUGAAUUUUAAGGUGAGAUCUACUCCUACUUAUAAAACUUUCGUAAGGACCCUUAACUUAUCAAACUUGGAACUUUUAGCAGAGACAAUUAUUUUAAAGUAAAAACAAAAAAUAUGGGUGUUAAUGGAUAAAAUAUAUAAAUAGAGAAUAUGAUAUAAUGUAAUAUACCCAUGAAGGAAUCAGUGGUAGGUUCCCAAUGUUCAAGAAAAGCCUCAUGUGGAAGUUCAACCUCAACCAAAGCAAGCUUUGGUUCAACUCUUUGCGUGCGUGCUCUCCCUUUUGAAUUCACAACCACCCACUGUCGAUCCCACCGAAUUCCUAUCAAGUAAAAACAUUGAAUAAAAAAGUUGCAAUCAAAUUCAAAUGAAAAAGCAGAAUAAGAAGGAAUAAGGUACCAAAAGGAGUGAGAGGAGCAGAAGGAAGAGAGAUUCCACGGCAUGACUUAAUUGGAUAGGUGAAAAUGCCUGUAACUUUAGCUACGGGUGGUGCUAACUCUGUUGCAACAGAAGGUGUUGAUGUUACAGCACCCAUGUUUUCUUCUUUCUCUUUGUUCUUAGAAAAUAUAUGUUGUCCCUUCAAUUCAAUGAAACUGAACCAAAACUUUAAACUUCACACGCUAGGAGUCACGUGUCUAGGAAACAUGUUACAUUUAAAACAGUGCAAUUACCAUUAAGUUACUGCAAUUCUAUAAAAAGAAUGCUUAAAUGUAAUUUUGAUCUCAAGUUUUUCAAUUAUUUAAUUUUGGUCUUUUAAAUUUUAA
Long non-coding RNA from Lathyrus oleraceus (garden pea), 2027 nucleotides. RefSeq lists it as uncharacterized. The record is from RefSeq and is a predicted model, not a curated record. The transcript is spliced from 2 exons. Lineage: Eukaryota; Viridiplantae; Streptophyta; Magnoliopsida; Fabales; Fabaceae.